AGGUAAAAUGGAGAUGGGCUUGCUCUGGGUUCCAAGAAAUGUAAUCCCAAUCCCUUCCAGAGCCGCGCCAGCGUCCCUUUGUGCGAGGGCGGGGGAGGGGAGCCAUGAGGGCAACGGCGAUCGACCUCCCGGAAGCGCUCCGCUCUCCAUCUCCUCCUUCCUCCCAUUUCAGCCCUGGGCGCCAUUACCACGUCGCCGUCGAUCGGCUCCAGUUCAAGAUGGUGGCUCUCUUGAGAUUCUUGUUCUGGGUUAUGGUAUUGACCAACUUGAGUGAAAGGGGUGGGGCGGUGGCGUCCGUCGCUGCCAGUGUGAUAUGCUGCAGAGCUGGACGCCGUCUGCGCGGUCUCCAACCUUACCUUUAUCUAGCUUUCGUCCCUGGCUUGAGCUUAAACAGGACAUGAUAUUAUUAGCUGCAUUUCCUGGCUAUUGGAUGUUGGAGUGUAUCAUUUUUGGUGUCAUCAAAUAUUCAGCAAUCACAAGGUUAGUGUAAAUGACUAAUCUCAACAAUGUAGUCAUUGUAACGCCUGAACCAGAAGAACAUGGUGCCAUUUUUGGACUUGUAACAAUCACCCAAAGGAUAUAGACCUGCUGAUGUCAAAGUACUUCUCCUAUAAGUUAAUCUUCAAAUCAUUAUCUGAAGAUCAUUGAAACCUGGAUUUAUUUCCUUGUUCCAUUCCAGAACCGUAACUAUCAAUCCUUAUCCUGACUAUUCAGGGCUGGCUUUAUGUGUUUCUUUGUCCCAAGAUUUCCUUUACAACUGGAAGAGGUAGAAAUUACUUGGUUUCCAUACUUUGUUGAAUCAAAUUCAAAUUUUGGUAACCAGCUUUAAUUAAAUAAUAUUGUAUGCCUUCUAUAAUUUUGUUAUUGAUGGCCUUAUCCUUCAGCUUGAAGCUGGAAUUUUGGUUUUUAUAUAUGUUGAAUCAAAGUCAAACUCUGGUAACCUGCUUUAAUUAAAUAAUAUUGUAUAUCUUCUAUAAUUUUGUUAUCCUGCUUUAAUUAAAUAAUUAUGUUACUGAUAGCCUUAUCUUUCAGCUUGAAGCUGGAAUUUUGCAAGUAAACUACCUUCGUUCAUCAUAUGUUAUAUACAUCUGAAUUUGCUCUAAAUUUUCCUAUUCUUUACUAUUUCUAUGUUUAACUAUUCUUUUAGCAUAUUGUUUACAAUUUUUCCAUUUUUGUUCAGUGCAAUGACCUAGCUGAAUCAGAAUAGGCACUGGUACUAGAGAAGUUCCAUCAGUUAACUGCAGAAUGGAGUCAAAGCAAUGAUGCUUGUUCAGGGGAUGAUCUUGAAUGGUGGAAAUGUAGUUGAUAAGUCAUGCACGAUAGUUGUAACCAGGGUAUGCCAUACCAGCCCAUACCGGCCGGUACGAACCGGUCCAGGCUGGGACCGGUACCGGAUCAGCGUGGGAUCCGUUACCUAGAGCUUUUCAUUGGAAAACUGGCUGGUAUGACUACCGUACUGGUACGGACCAGUACGGAAUCGGUACGUACCUGUCCGAUUCGCCACUGGUAUGCCGACCGGUACCGGUACGGCCGACCUCGGUUGUAACACAUGCUUGCCUGCCACUUGUUGCUUCAGGAGAGACACCUUUUUUACCUCAUAUUUUAAUAUACUAUGAAUUACCAACAAAGAAGAUGCAUCCAGAUACCCUGUUCUAACCGUAGUUUGAAAUUUCUCAUGGUUUAAUGUUAAAUCAAAUUCCAAUUGAUUAAGCCUAUUCUGAUGUAAUUGUGGAUACAUAUUUUGGCAAAAAAUUAAUUUUGUUUUGUGUUUUAUUUUCAUUUGCUUUGAUAAAUUAUUAGUUGUAAUUUUGUGACUUUAUGUGGCAGUUCUAAGUAAGGGAUACUAUAAACAGAGUAUUUUAGCAGUAGGUUCAAGGGAAGAAUAGGUUGGAAUAUUAAGUGUAUCUGAAGAUUGCUAAGAAAUCUCCAAGAAAUAUGGUAUAAAUAAGGUUGGCUGAAGCCAAGGUCAGGCACAACCUAGUGUUAUUAGUUUGGACGAAGCACUAAGAUCUGAUUCAUUCAAUCUGGUGGUACAUGAAAUAAUUGUUUUGUCACUAUAGAUGAUUUGAAUGGAGACACUCUCUACUUUUGUAAACCUGUAUGCAUUCGAAUAUUAUUUCCUUUUUCAUCACUCAUCUCCAAUAAAGAGUUGACAGAGAUUUAGGACUUCAAGCUCAUAUAUGUAGUUUUGGCUAUCUAGAAAAUUGUGAUUGUUAGUAUCAAUGUAAGUAUAUAUGAGGUGACCUGCUCAUGUAGAAUAUAUGUAUGAUGUAUCUAUACAAUCUAUAUCUGGUCGACCUCUAGUGAGGUAACAUGCUCAUCUGGAUGUCUAUCUUCUAAUCUUAUGAACUAGCUUUAUGCUAGCGAAAAUAACAUUUACUUUGAUGUUUCUUUUCAAAAUUUUAUGACAACAGAACCUCGAUUGUUGGUGCCUUCAUAAAACCUCAGAGGUGAUGUAGUAAUCUUUUACUCUUUUUUUUUUUGGCUAGAGUGGGCGAUUCAUACCUGACGAGUACGAAUGCACCCAAUAAAAUUAGAAAACAAAAUAUCUUGGUGUGCCCGAGGCAGCUCCCCAUUUCUAGCCCACAAGGAAACAUACUUCAGGCUUAUGUCAACUUGUUCAGUAGCAGGAUCAUGAUCGGCAUGGUUGUUGGAGGUGAAGUGGUGGCCCUGAAAGAACUUGAGGAGAGUAGUUGUGUUGUCAUUGCAGAGAUGCCCAUAAAUGAGUGUUUAACAUUAUAUCUAUACUGUUGAUCAUCUAUUGGUACAUGCAGCGGUUCAUGAUGCAGAUCUCCAAAAUCUUGUGAAGAUAUUAUUGUCCUCUGCAUCUAAAGAAGGAUACAUCGGUAGAGUACACUAGAACUGGACCUGUUGGCUGCAGCAUGGAAAGCCCCCAAGUUUAAACAUAUUUAGACAAUGAUAGUUUGAAUCAUUACGACUGGUAUUGUUGUUAGCUCUUGGGAAGAUAAAUUUUUUUUCUAUCUGAAUUUGAGUAUAUAUUUCAACGCCAACAAAAAUAUGUGGUUUCUCCUAGAUAUCCUGACAAUAAUUUUGCUUACUCAAAUGAUAUGUAAUAUAAUGAUUAAGAGUGAUUGGAUAAUUUUCACCUGAAUUUAUCAUAUAUUUUACAAGAAUAAUAAUAGUUUCUAUUUAUGUCAUUCCUAAUUUAGAUUAUGCUUCCUGGUGGAGAAAAAUAUUGAUAUUCCUGUCAAUCUCUUGCCAGAAGGCUGUGUUUUUAAGUUUUGAAAAAAAAACAUAAACUUAUCCAGAUUUAUGCUUCUUUUUCGGCUGCCUUACCUAAUAUUUCCUAUGGAAUCUAUGCAUGUCUGGAGAAUCAAGGUUUAAAUUUUGUGUGUCCGGUUGCUUUUGUAUGGUUCCUGCUGCUCUUUGAGGUGCAGAGGGACCCUUAGCUUGUAUCUCUAAUCAAUUUUUUUUCUGCUCUAGAUGUGCUUCAUAUCCAUCGAAACAGCAGAGGGCCAGAGAGGUUCACUGCACAUUGAAGAUGCCAAUGUCAGGAUUAGCUGGAAAGUGAUUGUGCCCUGUAGUAAAUGUGUUUCCAUUAAAACAUGGGCCCCUAGCUGAAUGGCUGCUUCCUCACCACCAUUUGCAAUCCUGGGACCAUACUGUUGUUGGUGGCCAUUAGCAGGUUCAUCCAAAGGUGAUUCAUGCAGAAUUGUUGCUUGUCGUCUUCCUUCUGAUUAGAAAUCUCUUCUGGAUUGGAUGAUAUAUAGGACGUUUGGGAGUUUGUAACCUAAUCAUUGGGGUGUUCUUAAAUUAUCUUUUUACCAGGUGGUUGGUUUGUAUAGGCAAGUGGUGGGAUCUUCUUCAUUUUUUCAUGAAGAAUUGGCUAAAUAAGGUGUUUUUUUUUUGUUUUUUUGUUCUUAUGUCUGGUUUGUUUUUAACACAAAUCAUAGUGGAUAAGGUGCUAUGGAUUCAAGAGGAACAUUGAUUGUUAAAUAUGUCUACUGUAAGAUGAUAAGAGAUGAUUGGAAUUUGAAUAUGGAAUG
Molecule: RNA transcript, 4007 nt
Organism: Phoenix dactylifera (date palm)
Lineage: Eukaryota; Viridiplantae; Streptophyta; Magnoliopsida; Arecales; Arecaceae
Source: RefSeq, a predicted model, not a curated record